This 1358-nucleotide long non-coding RNA is filed under the name Coturnix japonica (Japanese quail). RNAcentral's name for it is "lncRNA (ENSCJPG00005014824.1)". The record is from RNAcentral. Lineage: Eukaryota; Metazoa; Chordata; Aves; Galliformes; Phasianidae.
CUUUCUGCUGAAAGCAUGGUGCUGGGCUUUAACUCUUCCCUGAGCUCAUCUGCCAAAAGCAGGCUCCUUGCGGGCUGCCUAGGCUUCCAUGCAGAAUAUAUUUCCUUUAGCAGACCCCAGUGAGCCACUUCUUGCACCAGAUAUAUCUUCUGGGUUGGCGGAAGGAAGGGCUGCUCAGCCCAGGGGGAGCCAGCACGAGUGGCUGCGGAUGAAGGACAUGCUGAGUGCCAUCCAUCACAGGCUCUGCAGGGCCAAGGAAGACUAGCUGGCUGUUUGUCAGCCUGCCCCACCACAUUUUACCAGGUGGCAUCCUCCUGCCCUUAAUUAUUGUCAUUAUUAUUACUAGCUUUCUCCAGACAUAACUGGGUCCAAAAUCUCUGUGGUGCCAAGAGCUCAGCUACUCUCUGCACUGACAGCGUUCCAAGUCUGAGCUUUUCUUCCCUUUGCAAACAUUACAGAUGAAUGAAGUGCUCUGUUCCCUCAUUUGUUUUACUACUUCCAGCGCAGGAUGGCUCCAGCUUCAUGUAGAGGAGGGAAGAGCAGGAGGAGGGGGGGAGGGAGUACAACACAUCAGGAGGGCUGUACAUGCCUCCAGGCUCCUGCUCCCAGGGGACUUCCUGAAUGAAUGGAUCGUGAUCUGCUCCAUUAUCCUCGGAUAAUCGACCAAUUGUCUCUUUAAACCCUUGCACCUGCACGUUGAUGUCUGCAAAACAUUCUCAUUGCUUUUCUACUGGUGUUUGCCAGCGGAAGCUACAGGAGGGACCUCAUUAGGUUUCCAGGUUGAUGUAGUCUGUGAUGAAGAGUAGCCUGUGGACUUCUCCUGAGUGGAUCUGUGUCUCUCAUAGGGUUGCAGAAGUGCCCUCUGCCCAAUUGCAAAGCCCGUGAGAGCUGCAGGAUCUGAGUGUGGAUGAGUCAUGCAGACAGCACAAGUGCAACCAAUGGAGCCAGAUCAGACCGCUGACAAGAGAAGGUGCCUGAGGAGUGCAAUGGAACGGGGGGUGAUCCUUGCAAGGCGGUAUUUCAAAAGCGUAAUUGAAAUCCUUGCCAUGUGCUCUGCUCUCUUAGCUCCACAGCCAGCGCCUCCCUUGCCUUCCCCAGCUCUCACAAUAGAUGGGUUUUACCCAACCUGGUGCCUCUCAAGGUAAGAGCAGUUUCCAUGUGCUCACCAAACUGCAGUGGUCUCCUCUCACUCCCACAUUGACAAUUGAUAUAGACAGGAGAGGCUGCACCCAAGGAGAGCCUAUAGAAAAGCAGACCUGGAGAAGGUGCCAGAAUUACAGAGUAGGGUCCAGGGGGUGAUAUACGUUUCCUAAAGGCACACAAAGCUUUUGGCAGGAGGUGGGUUUCCUCUUACUCCA